Molecule: non-coding RNA, 72 nt
Organism: Cercophora sp. LCS_1
Lineage: Eukaryota; Fungi; Ascomycota; Sordariomycetes; Sordariales; Lasiosphaeriaceae
Source: the annotation of a GenBank genome assembly
GGGGUUUUAGUAUAACGGUAAUACAUGUGACUUUUAAUCGCUAAGAAAAGAGUUCGAAUCUCUUAAACCCUA